CUUGCUCUGUGGGAUCAGUGGCGAACGGGUGAGUAACACGUGAGCAACCUGCCCCUGACUCUGGGAUAAGCGCUGGAAACGGCGUCUAAUACUGGAUACGAGUAGCGACCGCAUGGUCAGUUACUGGAAAGAUUUAUUGGUUGGGGAUGGGCUCGCGGCCUAUCAGCUUGUUGGUGAGGUAAUGGCUCACCAAGGCGUCGACGGGUAGCCGGCCUGAGAGGGUGACCGGCCACACUGGGACUGAGACACGGCCCAGACUCCUACGGGAGGCAGCAGUGGGGAAUAUUGCACAAUGGGCGCAAGCCUGAUGCAGCAACGCCGCGUGAGGGAUGACGGCCUUCGGGUUGUAAACCUCUUUUAGCAGGGAAGAAGCGAAAGUGACGGUACCUGCACAAAAAGCGCCGGCUAACUACGUGCCAGCAGCCGCGGUAAUACGUAGGGCGCAAGCGUUAUCCGGAAUUAUUGGGCGUAAAGAGCUCGUAGGCGGUUUGUCGCGUCUGCUGUGAAAUCCGGAGGCUCAACCUCCGGCCUGCAGUGGGUACGGGCAGACUAGAGUGCGGUAGGGGAGAUUGGAAUUCCUGGUGUAGCGGUGGAAUGCGCAGAUAUCAGGAGGAACACCGAUGGCGAAGGCAGAUCUCUGGGCCGUAACUGACGCUGAGGAGCGAAAGGGUGGGGAGCAAACAGGCUUAGAUACCCUGGUAGUCCACCCCGUAAACGUUGGGAACUAGUUGUGGGGUCCAUUCCACGGAUUCCGUGACGCAGCUAACGCAUUAAGUUCCCCGCCUGGGGAGUACGGCCGCAAGGCUAAAACUCAAAGGAAUUGACGGGGACCCGCACAAGCGGCGGAGCAUGCGGAUUAAUUCGAUGCAACGCGAAGAACCUUACCAAGGCUUGACAUAUACGAGAACGGGCCAGAAAUGGUCAACUCUUUGGACACUCGUAAACAGGNGGGUGCAUGGUUUGUCGUCAGCUCCUGGUCGUGGAGAUGUUGGGGUUAAGUCCCCGCAACCAAGCGCAACCCUUCGUUCUAUGUUUGCCAG
Molecule: ribosomal RNA, 1040 nt
Filed under: Microbacterium sp.
Lineage: Bacteria; Bacillati; Actinomycetota; Actinomycetes; Micrococcales; Microbacteriaceae
Description: bacterial SSU rRNA
Rfam family: Bacterial small subunit ribosomal RNA
Source: RNAcentral